This is a long non-coding RNA of Dendroctonus ponderosae (mountain pine beetle), 444 nucleotides long. RefSeq lists it as uncharacterized. The transcript has 2 exons. The record is from RefSeq and is a predicted model, not a curated record. NCBI's taxonomy places the organism in Eukaryota, Metazoa, Arthropoda, Insecta, Coleoptera, Curculionidae.
CGCGGUUUUGUAAGAAAUAUCACGAAGUCAAUUACCAAUAAGCAACUAACUUAAAUAAACCAAGAGAAAUAUUUUGCUUGAAACAUUGUUUUUACUGAUACUUGGCAAUACUGUCUCAUGAGAGAAACAAACAAGCUUCGAAUAAAAACGAAAUAAAUUAGGUUGAAAAUAGGUGAUACUUGCCAAACUAACAAUGGUUUUUCAGACAGACUUUUCAUGUUCCGGUAGUUUUCUCAGAAUAAAUUAUGGUGUUCCCGCUGAAAAACCAUCGUGUUGAUUUUUUCAAGAUUUGGAAGGUUAGAGACGCGGUCGAUAACCCCAAUUCCUCCCGUCCGCUAGCAAAAAGUACGGGAAUGUUAUUUGAAUCAUUGCCGAAGGGGAGAUUUUGAAUCUAUCUAGUAAGGGAAUGUGCCAAAAUAAUAAAUAAUAAAUUUACUGACAGUG